GCAGGCAGAAUGUGGCUGCCCUGUCGUAAAAACAGGGAGGAAAGUCCGGGCUCCAGAGGAUAACGUAAUGGGUAACACCCAUCUUCCGGUUUUUCCGGAACGGAUUAGAACCACAGAGACGAGUACCCCGCCUCGGCGGGGGAGGUGAAACGCGGUAAUCUCUACGUGGAGCAAGGUAUAAAAGGGAUGAGUGCUGAUCCGGCGCGCUUCCGUAUUCGAAAUUUGCGGAAAAUUAAUCCUGGGUAAGCUGCUAAAGUUCUGGGAGUGAUCCAAGAAUUGAGAGGAAUAGCCACUAAUCGAUGCGUAAAAUUCGCAUCAAGACAGAACCCGGCUUAUUCUGCCUGCUGAU
Molecule: RNase P RNA, 349 nt
Filed under: Candidatus Omnitrophota bacterium
Lineage: Bacteria; Pseudomonadati; Candidatus Omnitrophota
Description: RNase P RNA component class A
Rfam family: Bacterial RNase P class A
About the family: Ribonuclease P (RNase P) is a ubiquitous endoribonuclease, found in archaea, bacteria and eukarya as well as chloroplasts and mitochondria. Its best characterised activity is the generation of mature 5'-ends of tRNAs by cleaving the 5'-leader elements of precursor-tRNAs.
Source: RNAcentral